This 452-nucleotide ribosomal RNA is filed under the name uncultured bacterium. RNAcentral describes it as "bacterial SSU rRNA". It matches the Rfam family "Bacterial small subunit ribosomal RNA", at positions 28 to 507 of the family's 1533-position model. The record is from RNAcentral.
GAUGAACGCUGGCGGCGUGCUUAACACAUUCAAGUCGAACGAAGUAGCAAUACUUAGUGGCGGACGGGUGAGUAACGCGUGAGCAACCUGCCUUUGUGAGGGGAAUAACGUCUGGAAACGGACGCUAAUACCGCAUAACGCAUAUGUAUCGCAUGGUAUGUAUGCCAAAGAUUUAUUGCACAAGGAUGGGCUCGCGUCUGAUUAGAUAGUUGGUGGGGUAACGGCCUACCAAGUCGACGAUCAGUAGCCGGACUGAGAGGUUGAACGGCCACAUUGGAACUGAGAUACGGUCCAGACUCCUACGGGAGGCAGCAGUGGGGAAUAUUGGGCAAUGGGCGAAAGCCUGACCCAGCGACGCCGCGUGAGGGAAGAAGGUCUUCGGAUUGUAAACCUUAAACAACAGGGACGAAACAAAUGACGGUACCUGUUAGGAAGCCACGGCUAACUACGUG